UACGGGAGGCAGCAGUGGGGAAUAUUGCACAAUGGGCGCAAGCCUGAUGCAGCCAUGCCGCGUGUAUAGAAAAACGGCCUUCGGGUUGUAAAGUACUUUCAGUCGUGAGGAAGGUGUUAAGGUUAAUAACCUUAGCAAUUGACGUUAGCGACAGAAGAAGCACCGGCUAACUCCGUGCCAGCAGCCGCGGUAAUACGGAGGGUGCGAGCGUUAAUCGGAAUUACUGGGCGUAAAGGGCACGCAGGCGGUUAAUUAAGUUGGAUGUGAAAUCCCCGGGCUUAACCUGGGAAUGGCAUUCAAGACUGGUUAGCUAGAGUCUUGUAGAGGGGGUAGAAUUCCAUGUGUAGCGGUGAAAUGCGUAGAGAUGUGGAGGAAUACCGGUGGCGAAGGCGGCCCCUGGACAAAGACUGACGCUCAUGUGCGAAAGCGUGGGGAGCAAACAGGGAUUAGAUACCCGU
Molecule: ribosomal RNA, 458 nt
Filed under: uncultured bacterium
Lineage: Bacteria
Description: bacterial SSU rRNA
Rfam family: Bacterial small subunit ribosomal RNA
Source: RNAcentral